This 1424-nucleotide ribosomal RNA is filed under the name Anopheles marajoara. RNAcentral's name for it is "16S ribosomal RNA". The record is from RNAcentral. Lineage: Eukaryota; Metazoa; Arthropoda; Insecta; Diptera; Culicidae.
UAAUAUUUAUUUAUUAAUUUGUUUUUUUUUAUUAAUUAUUAAUAAAAAUAAUUUUAAUGAUUUUAGUUUUAGUAAUGUAUAAUGAAUCAAUAAUUUUAAUUAUAGUGUAUUAGUAUUGUAAAAGAAUAUUGAAAUAAUUUGAAAAAUUUUUAUUUUAAAAGAAAAUUUUAUUUAUUGUACCUUGUGUAUCAGGGUUUAUUAAAUAAUAAAUUAUUAUAUUAAUUUUUCUCGAAUUUUAAAGAUUUAAUUGUAUAAAAAAGUUAUUGUAGAAUAACUAUUUUAAAUAUAUAAUUAGAAAUGAAAUGUUAAUCGUUUUAAAAUAUAUCUAGUUUUUUAAGAAAUAAAUUUAAUUUAGUUUAUUUAUUUUAUUAAUUUAAUUUUUUUAAUUUAAUAAAUGAAUAUGAUAAUAUUUUAAGGGAUAAGCUUUAAAAUAAAUUUUUAUAUUUUUAAUAAUUAAAAAAUAAAUAUAAGCUUAAAAAUAGCUAUUAUUAAUAAAUUUGUUAUAAUUUAUUUUUUAUUUAAAAUUAUUUAUUUUUAAAUUAAAUUUUUUAUUAAAAUAUAAUUUUUAAUUAGUUAAAAUUAUAAAUUAUGAUAAAAUUAGUAUAUAAAUUUAUAUAAAAUAAUUAAUUUGAUAGGUUUAAAUGAAGAAUUCGGCAAAUUAAAUAUGUUCACCUGUUUAACAAAAACAUGUCUUUUUGAUUUUUAUAUAAAGUCUAGCCUGCCCACUGAAAUUUAAAGGGCCGCGGUAUCUUGACCGUGCGAAGGUAGCAUAAUCAAUAGUCUUUUAAUUGAAGGCUGGUAUGAAUGGUUGAAUGAGAUAUAUACUGUUUUUUUUAAAUUUAUAUAGAACUUUAUUUUUUAAUUAAAAAGUUAAAAUAGUAUUAAAGGACGAGAAGACCCUAUAGAUCUUUAUUUUUAUAAAUUAUAAAUUAUAAAGAAUUUUAAAAUUUAUAUUUUUGAUAAAAUUUUACUGGGGUGGUAUUAAAAUUUAAUAAACUUUUAUUUAUUAUUAACAUUGAUUUAUGAAUAUUAGAUCCUUUAUUAUGGAUUAAAAAAUUAAGUUACCUUAGGGAUAACAGCGUAAUUUUUUUAGAGAGUUCAUAUCGAUAAAAAAGAUUGCGACCUCGAUGUUGGAUUAAGAGUUAUUUUUAGGUGUAGAAGUUUAAAGUUUAGGUCUGUUCGACCUUUGAAUUCUUACAUGAUCUGAGUUCAAACCGGCGUAAGCCAGGUUGGUUUCUAUCCUUAAUUAAUUAUUAUAUUGUAGUACGAAAGGACCUAAUAUAAAAAAUAUAAUUUUAAAUUAUUUGAAAAUUAAUAAUUUUAUUUACUAUUUUGGCAAAGUCUAGCCUGCAAUAAAUUUAGAAUUUAUAAAUAUAAUUUUUAAUUAUAAAUUUUAUUUUAUUUGAAAAUUAAUAAUUUUGUUU